AAAGGGGCUUCGGCUCCGAGUAAAGUGGCGCACGGGUGAGUAACACGUGGGUAACCUGCCUCUAAGAUUGGGAUAACUCGUCGAAAGAUGAGCUAAUACCGGAUAAGACCACAGUUCCCGCGGGAACCGGGGUCAAAGGUAGCCUCUGCUUGCAAGCUAUCACUUAGAGAUGGGCCUGCGCACCAUUAGCUAGUUGGUAGGGUAACGGCCUACCAAGGCAAAGAUGGUUAGCUGGUCUGAGAGGAUGAUCAGCCACACUGGAACUGAGACACGGUCCAGACUCCUACGGGAGGCAGCAGUGGGGAAUAUUGCGCAAUGGGCGAAAGCCUGACGCAGCAACGCCGCGUGAGUGAUGAAGGCCUUCGGG
Molecule: ribosomal RNA, 367 nt
Filed under: uncultured bacterium
Lineage: Bacteria
Description: bacterial SSU rRNA
Rfam family: Bacterial small subunit ribosomal RNA
Source: RNAcentral